This is a long non-coding RNA of Hippocampus zosterae (dwarf seahorse), 402 nucleotides long. RefSeq lists it as uncharacterized. The transcript is spliced from 3 exons. The record is from RefSeq and is a predicted model, not a curated record. Lineage: Eukaryota; Metazoa; Chordata; Actinopteri; Syngnathiformes; Syngnathidae.
GUUCUGACAAAGCCAUAACACCGGAGGAGAUCCUCAAGACAAAACUUCUGCACCUGUAAGACAAAGUGGAGCAUCAAGUGAUGCGGACGGGAGCUGCGGGUAGUGAGGACGUGCAUGCGCAAAAACAUACACACCUUCCCAAAAGUUAUUAUUCAUGCCACAGAAGGAGAAAAGGAAAAAAAAAAGAGAAGAUGCAUCUCUGGCUUGCGUCUCGCCAGUCAGGCUUCGCCGAGUGAGCCGCAGCUCCUCCUGCGGAUCUCGAUGAGACGGACGACUCUGUGACCGCGCCUGCCUUUUCUUCAACAAACUGCUCUUCUACACCAACUUUCCUCAGCUCGUUCUUGUAUACCUGCUCCGCUUGCGCCUUGGCUUGUCUCUGAUCAAAUGAAAAUGACAACACAG